AUUGAACGCUGGCGGCAGGCCUAACACAUGCAAGUCGAGCGAGCGGCGGACGGGUGAGUAAUGUCUGGGAAACUGCCUGAUGGAGGGGGAUAACUACUGGAAACGGUAGCUAAUACCGCAUACCAUCAGAUGUGCCCAGAUGGGAUUAGCUGUUAGUGGGGGUAACGGCUCACCUAGGCGACGAUCCCUAGCUGGUCUGAGAGGAUGACAAGCCACACGGGAACUGAGACACGGUCCAGACUCAUACGGGAGGCAGCAGUGGGGAAUAUUGCACAAUGGGCGCAAGACUGAUGCAGCCAUGACGCGUGUGUGAAGAAGGCCUUCGGGUUGUAAAGCACUUUCAGCGGGGAGGCGUUACCCGCAGAAGAAGCACCGGCUAACUCCGUGCCAGCAGCCGCGGUAAUAC
RNAcentral lists this ribosomal RNA (406 nucleotides) under uncultured bacterium. Its description in RNAcentral is "partial 16S ribosomal RNA". It matches the Rfam family "Bacterial small subunit ribosomal RNA", at positions 30 to 526 of the family's 1533-position model. The record is from RNAcentral.